This 200-nucleotide long non-coding RNA is filed under the name Elaeis guineensis (African oil palm). Its description in RNAcentral is "long non-coding RNA (EGUI_LNC043399)". Lineage: Eukaryota; Viridiplantae; Streptophyta; Magnoliopsida; Arecales; Arecaceae. The record is from RNAcentral.
CUCCAAAAAUCAUCAAUGAAAGUUAAUGAAUACUGAGAAUCAUCUUUAAACUGAAUAGGCAGAAGAUCCCAAAGAUCAGAAUGGAUAUAAUUUAAUGUACCCUUUAUCCUUUGGACGGCUAUGCUGACUCGACUCUAAAUUGCUUUUCAUAGAUACAAAACUCACAAAAAUCAAGCUUCUCAAUUUUUUGACCACACAAU